UCCUACGGGAGGCAGCAGUGGGGAAUUUUGGACAAUGGGCGAAAGCCUGAUCCAGCAAUGCCGCGUGUGUGAAGAAGGCCUUCGGGUUGUAAAGCACUUUUGUCCGGAAAGAAAACGCUCUAACUAAUAUCUGGAGCGGAUGACGGUACCGGAAGAAUAAGCACCGGCUAACUACGUGCCAGCAGCCGCGGUAAUACGUAGGGUGCGAGCGUUAAUCGGAAUUACUGGGCGUAAAGCGUGCGCAGGCGGUUUGUUAAGACGGAUGUGAAAUCCCCGGGCUCAACCUGGGAACUGCAUUCGUGACUGGCAAGCUAGAGUAUGGCAGAGGGGGGUGGAAUUCCACGUGUAGCAGUGAAAUGCGUAGAGAUGUGGAGGAACACCGAUGGCGAAGGCAGCCCCCUGGGCCAAUACUGACGCUCAUGCACGAAAGCGUGGGGAGCAAACAGGAUUAGAUACCCUGGUAGUCCACGCCCUAAACGAUGUCAACUAGUUGUUGGGGAUUCAU
Molecule: ribosomal RNA, 505 nt
Filed under: uncultured bacterium
Lineage: Bacteria
Description: bacterial SSU rRNA
Rfam family: Bacterial small subunit ribosomal RNA
Source: RNAcentral